GUGAGGAAUAUUGCGCAAUGGGCGAAAGCCUGACGCAGCGACGCCGCGUGGAGGAUGAAGGUCUUCGGAUUGUAAACUUCUGUUAAGUGGGAAGAAAGGGCUGUUUUUAAUAGAAGCAGUUAAUGACGGUACCAUUAAAGAAAGCACCGGCUAAACUCGUGCCAGCAGCCGCGGUAAUACGAGUGGUGCAAGCGUUAUUCGGAAUAAUUGGGCGUACAGGGUGUGUAGGCGGUAUGUUAAGUCUGUUGUUAAAGACUCCGGCCUAACCGGAGACAGGCAGCGGAAACUGGCGUACUAGAGGGUGGAAGAGAGAAGUGGAAUUCUCGGUGUAGCGGUAAAAUGCGUAGAUAUCGAGAGGAACACCGAUGGCGAAGGCAGCUUCUUGGUCCAUACCUGACGCUGAAACACGAAAGCGUGGGGAGCAAACAGGAUUAGAAACCCCGGUAGUCC
This 450-nucleotide ribosomal RNA is filed under the name uncultured bacterium. Its description in RNAcentral is "partial 16S ribosomal RNA". It matches the Rfam family "Bacterial small subunit ribosomal RNA", at positions 354 to 796 of the family's 1533-position model. The record is from RNAcentral.